AUACCUUUCUCGGCCUUUUGGCUAAGAUCAAGUGUAGUAUCUGUUCUUAUCAGUUUAAUAUCUGAUAUGUGGACCAUGUGUCCACAACGAUAUUAAAUUUAUUUUUCAUGGGGGAGAGCCCACCAUGGUAGCUUGCUGCCAGGGCUCUCAUGUGUCGCCCAGGCGUUGCACUACUGCCUGGGCCUGGCAAACCCCAA
Non-coding RNA from Triticum urartu, 197 nucleotides. Lineage: Eukaryota; Viridiplantae; Streptophyta; Magnoliopsida; Poales; Poaceae. The record is from Rfam.